This 508-nucleotide ribosomal RNA is filed under the name uncultured methanogenic archaeon. RNAcentral's name for it is "bacterial SSU rRNA". It matches the Rfam family "Archaeal small subunit ribosomal RNA", at positions 104 to 621 of the family's 1478-position model. The record is from RNAcentral. Lineage: Archaea; Methanobacteriati; Methanobacteriota.
AUAAUCUGCCCUAUGGUGGAGGAUAACCCCGGGAAACUGGGGAUAAUACUCCAUAAGUCAGGAGUACUGGAAUGUCUCCUAACUGAAAGUUGCGGCGCCAUAGGAUGAAUCUGCGGCCGAUUAGGUAGUUGUUGGGGUAACGGCCCAACAAGCCCGUAAUCGGUACGGGUUGUGGGAGCAAGAGCCCGGAGAUGGAAUCUGAGACACGACCCCCGGCCUUUCGGGGCGCAGCAGGCGCUAAAACUUUACAAUGCAGGAAACUGUGAUAAGGGAACCCCGAGUGCCCGUAAACGCGGGCUGUCCCGGUGUUUAAAACACAUCGGAAGAAAGGGCCGGGCAAGACCGGUGCCAGCCGCCGCGGUAAUACCGGCGGCUCGAGUGGUGACCACUUUUAUUGGGCUUAAAGCGUUCGUAGCUUGAUUUUUAAGUCUCUUGGGAAAUCUCACGGCUUAACUGUGAGGCGUCUAGAGAUACUGGGAUCUAGGGACCGGGAGAGGUAGAGUACUUC